RNAcentral lists this ribosomal RNA (497 nucleotides) under uncultured bacterium. RNAcentral's name for it is "partial 16S ribosomal RNA". It matches the Rfam family "Bacterial small subunit ribosomal RNA", at positions 28 to 507 of the family's 1533-position model. The record is from RNAcentral.
GAUGAACGCUGGCGGCGUGCCUAAUACAUGCAAGUCGAGCGAACGGACGAGAAGCUUGCUUCUCUGAUGUUAGCGGCGGACGGGUGAGUAACACGUGGAUAACCUACCUAUAAGACUGGGAUAACUUCGGGAAACCGGAGCUAAUACCGGAUAAUAUUUUGAACCGCAUGGUUCAAAAGUGAAAGACGGUCUUGCUGUCACUUAUAGAUGGAUCCGCGCUGCAUUAGCUAGUUGGUAAGGUAACGGCUUACCAAGGCAACGAUGCAUAGCCGACCUGAGAGGGUGAUCGGCCACACUGGAACUGAGACACGGUCCAGACUCCUACGGGCGGCAGCAGUAGGGAAUCCUCCGCAAUGGGCGAAAGCCUGACGGAGCCACGCCGCGUGCGUGCUGAAGGUCUUCGGAUCGUAAACCUCUGUUAUUAGGGAAGAACAUAUGUGUAAGUAACUGUGCACAUCUUGACGGUACCUAAUCAGAAAGCCACGGCUAACUACGUG